This 78-nucleotide microRNA precursor is filed under the name Schistosoma mansoni. Its description in RNAcentral is "mir-3492 microRNA precursor family". It matches the Rfam family "mir-3492 microRNA precursor family". The record is from Rfam by way of RNAcentral. Lineage: Eukaryota; Metazoa; Platyhelminthes; Trematoda; Strigeidida; Schistosomatidae.
AGCAUUUUGAAUCCGUACAAAGAUUUCGUCAGACACCAACCCAAUAGAGCUGAUCAGACUUCCAAGAUAAGUGAAUUU